Molecule: ribosomal RNA, 346 nt
Filed under: uncultured eukaryote
Lineage: Eukaryota
Description: SSU rRNA
Rfam family: Eukaryotic small subunit ribosomal RNA
Source: RNAcentral
AUAGCGUAUAUUAAAGUUGUUGCAGUUAAAAAGCUCGUAGUUGAACUUCAGACCUGGCCGGACGGUCUGCCUAACGGUAUGUACUGUCUGGCUGGGCCUUACCUCUUGGUGAGCCGGCAUGCCCUUCACUGGGUGUGUCGGGGAACCAGGACUUUUACCUUGAGAAAAUUAGAGUGUUCAAAGCAGGCUUAUGCUCGAAUACAUUAGCAUGGAAUAAUAAAAUAGGACGUGCGGUUCUAUUUUGUUGGUUUCUAGAGUCGCCGUAAUGAUUAAUAGGGAUAGUUGGGGGCAUUAGUAUUCAGUUGCUAGAGGUGAAAUUCUUGGAUUUAUUAAAGACUAACUUCUG